UGGGGAAUUUUGGACAAUGGGGGAAACCCUGAUCCAGCCAUCCCGCGUGUGCGAUGAAGGCCUUCGGGUUGUAAAGCACUUUUGGCAGGAAAGAAACGUCAUGGGUUAAUACCCCGUGAAACUGACGGUACCUGCAGAAUAAGCACCGGCUAACUACGUGCCAGCAGCCGCGGUAAUACGUAGGGUGCAAGCGUUAAUCGGAAUUACUGGGCGUAAAGCGUGCGCAGGCGGUUCGGAAAGAAAGAUGUGAAAUCCCAGAGCUCAACUUUGGAACUGCAUUUUUAACAACCGGGCUAGAGUGUGUCAGAGGGAGGUGGAAUUCCGCGGGUAGCAGUGAAAUGCGUAGAUAUGCGGAGGAACACCGAUGGCGAAGGCAGCCUCCUGGGAUAACACUGACGCUCAUGCACGAAAGCGUGGGGAGCAAACAGG
This 429-nucleotide ribosomal RNA is filed under the name Acidobacteriota bacterium. RNAcentral's name for it is "Acidobacteria bacterium partial 16S ribosomal RNA". It matches the Rfam family "Bacterial small subunit ribosomal RNA", at positions 355 to 776 of the family's 1533-position model. The record is from RNAcentral. Lineage: Bacteria; Pseudomonadati; Acidobacteriota.